GUGCUUGCUUCAGCAGCCUGUAUACUAAAAUUGAAACAAUACAGAGAUUAUCAUGGCCUCUGCUCAAGGAUGACAUACAAAUUCAUGAAGCAGUUGGGUAUUUUU
Molecule: small nuclear RNA, 105 nt
Organism: Bison bison bison
Lineage: Eukaryota; Metazoa; Chordata; Mammalia; Artiodactyla; Bovidae
Source: Ensembl